This 433-nucleotide unclassified non-coding RNA is filed under the name uncultured Ascomycota. Its description in RNAcentral is "sequence contains ITS2". The record is from RNAcentral. Lineage: Eukaryota; Fungi; Ascomycota.
AACUUUUGGCAACGGAUCACUAUGGGCGCACUUGCAUCGAUAACACCGAACGCACCAGCAGGACCAAUAUCCGAAUACAACGGGGCACGCUGGUACGCGCUCUACACUGCGCCGCGCCACGAAAAGCGGGUCGCCGAUCAGAUCGAUCGGCAAGGUAUCGCUUGCUUCUUACCUCUCUACCGCUCGGUGCGCCGGUGGAAGGACCGUCGCAAGGAGCUGGCGUUGGUGCUGUUUCCGGGUUACGUUUUCGUGCGGAUGGCGUUGCAGCACCGCUUGAGAGUGCUGCAACUUCCCGGUGCAGUGCGUCUGGUGACGUUUAACGGCCAGCCCGUUCCUUUGCCGGAAGCGGACAUCGAAAACAUGCAACACCAUCUUUCCUGCUCUGGAAACAUAGAACCGCAUCCCUACUUAAGCAUAUCAAUAAGCGGAGGCU